Molecule: ribosomal RNA, 483 nt
Filed under: uncultured bacterium
Lineage: Bacteria
Description: partial 16S ribosomal RNA
Rfam family: Bacterial small subunit ribosomal RNA
Source: RNAcentral
GACGAACGCUGGCGGCGUGCUUAACACAUGCAAGUCGAACGCUGAAGCUCAGCUUUUGUUGGGUGGAUGAGUGGCGAACGGGUGAGUAACACGUGAGUAACCUGCCCCCUUCUUUGGGGUAACGUCCGGAAACGGGUGCUAAUACUGGAUAUUCACUGGCCUUCGCAUGGGGGUUGGUGGAAAGGGUUUUUCUGGUGGAGGAUGGGCUCGCGGCCUAUCAGCUUGUUGGUGGGGUGAUGGCCUACCAAGGCGUUGACGGGUAGCCGGCCUGGGAGGGUGACCGGUAACAUUGGGACUGAGAUACGGCCCAGACUCAUACGGGGGGCAGCAGUGGGGAAUAUUGCACAAUGGGCGCAAGCCUGAUGCAGCGACGCCGCGUGAGGGAUGGAGGCGUUCGGGUUGUGAACCUCUUUCGCUCAUGGUCAAGCCGCAACAAUGGUUGUGGUGAGGGUAGUGGGUAAAGAAGCGCCGGCUAACUACGUG